AUUGAACGCUGGCGGCAGGCCUAACACAUGCAAGUCGAACGGUAACAGGAAACAGCUUGCUGUUUCGCUGACGAGUGGCGGACGGGUGAGUAAUGUCUGGGAAACUGCCUGAUGGAGGGGGAUAACUACUGGAAACGGUAGCUAAUACCGCAUAACGUCUCAAGACCAAAGAGGGGUACCUUCGGGCCUCUUGCCAUCGGCUUUGCCCAGAUGGGAUUAGCUAGUAGGUGGGGUAACGGCUCACCUAGGCGACGAUCCCUAGCUGGUCUGAGAGGAUGACCAGCCACACUGGAACUGAGACACGGUCCAGACUCCUACGGGAGGCAGCAGUGGGGAAUAUUGCGCAAUGGGCGCAAGCCUGAUGCAGCCAUGCCGCGUGUAUGAAGAAGGCCUUCGGGUUGUAAAGUACUUUCAGCGGGGAGGAAGGGAGUAAAGUUAAUACCUUUACUCAUUGACGUUACCCGCAGAAGAAGCACCGGCUAACUCCGUG
This 490-nucleotide ribosomal RNA is filed under the name uncultured bacterium. RNAcentral describes it as "partial 16S ribosomal RNA". It matches the Rfam family "Bacterial small subunit ribosomal RNA", at positions 30 to 507 of the family's 1533-position model. The record is from RNAcentral.